UACGUAGACAGCGAGCGUUGUUCGGAAUUACUGGGCGUAAAGAGUGUGUAGGCGGUGUUCCCAGUCUGUUGUGAAAUCUCCCGGCUUAACUGGGAGGGUGCAGCGGAAACUAGAAUGCUAGAGGGUGGGAGAGGUAAGCGGAAUUCCUGGUGUAGCGGUGAAAUGCGUAGAUAUCAGGAGGAACACCUGUGGUGUAGACAGCUUACUGGACCACUUCUGACGCUGAGACACGAAAGCGUGGGUAGCAAACGGG
Molecule: ribosomal RNA, 253 nt
Filed under: uncultured bacterium
Lineage: Bacteria
Description: partial 16S ribosomal RNA
Rfam family: Bacterial small subunit ribosomal RNA
Source: RNAcentral